RNAcentral lists this ribosomal RNA (776 nucleotides) under uncultured Neocallimastigales. Its description in RNAcentral is "partial large subunit ribosomal RNA". It matches the Rfam family "Eukaryotic large subunit ribosomal RNA", at positions 24 to 646 of the family's 3401-position model. The record is from RNAcentral. Lineage: Eukaryota; Fungi; Neocallimastigomycota; Neocallimastigomycetes; Neocallimastigales.
GUAGUCUCGCACAGAUGCAUAUCAAUAAGCGGAGGAAAAGAAACUAACAAGGAUUCCCCUAGUAACGGCGAGUGAAGCGGGAAGAGCUCAAAUUUGAAAUCUUAAAGGGUUUCCCUUUACGAAUUGUAGUUUAAAGAAGUGUUUUCUGUUGAGGUUUUGGUAAAAGUUCUUUGGAAUAGGACAUCAUAGAGGGUGAGAAUCCCGUAUUUGACCUUUACUUUCAACUUUGUGAUACACUUUCAAAGAGUCGGAUUGUUUGGGAAUGCAGUCCAAAAUGGGUGGUAAAUUUCAUCUAAAGCUAAAUAUUGGCGAGAGACCGAUAGCGAACAAGUACCGUGAGGGAAAGAUGAAAAGAACUUUGAAAAGAGAGUUAAACAGUACGUGAAAUUGUCAAAAGGAAAGCGUUUGACACCAGUGUUGUUUUUCUGAAAAUCAAUUAAAGAACUGUUUAUGCUAAGUUGUUUAGACUUUAUCAGCUAACUGUUUAGUUUUGAGCUUUUCUUUAAUGCACUUUUCAGUUAACAAGUCAACAUCAAUUUCUUUUGCUGUAAAAAAGCUUGAGGAAGGUGGCUUGAGAUUCGUCUUAAGUGUUUAUAGGCCUCUUGCCUAUGCAGUCGGAGAGAUUGAGGUCUGCAGCGUAGAUCCUUCGGGGCUAAAUGCAUUUGUGCCUAAGUUAUAGCAUUUUAUAGACAACUUGUUGACUAUGAUUUGUCUUGUAGCUUACUCGCUUAUGUUAUUUUACCUACGCUUAGGAUGUUGAUCUGUAGUGCGUGCGC